CUUUCUACGACCCGAUAAACUAGUUUAUUAACUGAUGUAGUCGCGAAAAAUAUUGAAAUAUGACAUGGAAUUCCGCUUCCGAUGCCCUUAAACGAUGAAGAAUGAAACACAGACUAAAAUCGGACAACAACAAAAGGUGCCGAAAAGAACCAGUCUAUGCACAACUGGUUCCGAAGACCAGCGCACAGAUUGCAAACAAGCGGCAUGUGCAAUAGAGAUUGGCGCGUGAUUCCAGUUGCCAUGUACUGAUUUCGUGCGUCGAGAAGAGAUUUAUUUUGGGCUUAUCCAAACAUAAGUUAUUCAUUAUGAUUUAGUUAUGGUUUCAUUAAAGUGUGUUUUUUAAACCUU
Drosophila yakuba is the source of this 348-nucleotide long non-coding RNA. RefSeq lists it as uncharacterized. Lineage: Eukaryota; Metazoa; Arthropoda; Insecta; Diptera; Drosophilidae. The transcript is spliced from 2 exons. The record is from RefSeq and is a predicted model, not a curated record.